This 429-nucleotide unclassified non-coding RNA is filed under the name fungal sp. RNAcentral's name for it is "partial internal transcribed spacer region". The stretch from base 1 to 46 matches the Rfam family "Eukaryotic small subunit ribosomal RNA", at positions 1786 to 1831 of the family's 1831-position model. The record is from RNAcentral. Lineage: Eukaryota; Fungi.
AAGUCGUAACAAGGUUUCCGUAGGUGAACCUGCGGAAGGAUCAUUAACACGUAUCCAAACGUAAAAAACCCCCCCCCGUGAACAUUCAAUUUUGCUCUUGUAACCCGCGUAGUUCGCAAUCUCUGGUAAAUCAUAGCCCGGAAAGUAGUUUUGAUUCAGAGACCUCCGGCUACGUGAGAACAUUGGAACAGUUACAAUCGAGCGGUUGAAGCGCUAUCCUUGCACAAUCAGUGACACUUUCAGACACUAACUGCUAGGGGAAACAAUGCCUAUGAAACUACAACGAUUCCUGUAGACCGUACACUCGGGCAGGAGCUAUGCCAAAGGGUCCCCAUGCCCCCUUAUAACCCCACAGUUUAAUGUGAAGCUCAAUGUAAUACAUUGGGUAAAAAAACCGAACAACUGUUAACAAUGGAUAUCUUGCUUCUC